GAACGGGUGAGUAACACGUGGGAAACCUACCUCUUAGCAGGGGAUAACAUUUGGAAACAGAUGCUAAUACCGUAUAACAAUGACAACCGCAUGGUUGUUAUUUAAAAGAUGGUUCUGCUAUCACUAAGAGAUGGUCCCGCGGUGCAUUAGCUAGUUGGUAAGGUAAUGGCUUACCAAGGCGAUGAUGCAUAGCCGAGUUGAGAGACUGAUCGGCCACAAUGGGACUGAGACACGGCCCAUACUCCUACGGGAGGCAGCAGUAGGGAAUCUUCCACAAUGGGCGAAAGCCUGAUGGAGCAACGCCGCGUGUGUGAUGAAGGGUUUCGGCUCGUAAAACACUGUUGUAAGAGAAGAAUGACAUUGAGAGUAACUGUUCAAUGUGUGACGGUAUCUUACCAGAAAGGAACGGCUAAAUACGUGCCAGCAGCCGCGGUAAUACGUAUGUUCCAAGCGUUAUCCGGAUUUAUUGGGCGUAAAGCGAGCGCAGACGGUUAUCUAAGUCUGAAGUGAAAGCCCUCAGCUCAACUGAGGAAUUGCUUUGGAAACUGGAUGACUUGAGUGCAGUAGAGGAAAGUGGAACUCCAUGUGUAGCGGUGAAAUGCGUAGAUAUAUGGAAGAACACCAGUGGCGAAGGCGGCUUUCUGGACUGUAACUGACGUUGAGGCUCGAAAGUGUGGGUAGCAAACAGGAUUAGAUACCCUGGUAGUCCACACCGUAAACGAUGAG
Molecule: ribosomal RNA, 726 nt
Filed under: uncultured Weissella sp.
Lineage: Bacteria; Bacillati; Bacillota; Bacilli; Lactobacillales; Lactobacillaceae
Description: bacterial SSU rRNA
Rfam family: Bacterial small subunit ribosomal RNA
Source: RNAcentral